Molecule: ribosomal RNA, 452 nt
Filed under: uncultured bacterium
Lineage: Bacteria
Description: bacterial SSU rRNA
Rfam family: Bacterial small subunit ribosomal RNA
Source: RNAcentral
GUGUGUAGGCGGUUGUUUAAGUUUGGUGUGAAAUCUCCCGGCUCAACUGGGAGGGUGCGCCGAAUACUGAAUGACUAGAGUGUGGGAGAGGAAAGUGGAAUUCCUGGUGUAGCGGUGAAAUGCGUAGAUAUCAGGAGGAACACCGGUGGUGUAGACGGCUUUCUGGACCAUAACUGACGCUGAGACACGAAAGCGUGGGUAGCAAACAGGAUUAGAUACCCUGGUAGUCCACGCCCUAAACGAUGCAUAUUUGGUGUGGGCAGUUCAUUCUGUCCGUGCCGGAGCUAACGCGUUAAAUAUGCCGCCUGGGGAGUACAGUCGCAAGGCUGAAACUCAAAGGAAUUGACGGGGGCCCGCACAAGCGGUGGAGCAUGUGGUUCAAUUCUACGCAACGCGAAGAACCUUACCUGGGCUCGAACGGCUGGUCAACGGAGGUGGAAACACCUUUACCC